Long non-coding RNA from Trachemys scripta elegans, 5668 nucleotides. RefSeq lists it as uncharacterized. NCBI's taxonomy places the organism in Eukaryota, Metazoa, Chordata, Testudines, Emydidae. The transcript is spliced from 2 exons. The record is from RefSeq and is a predicted model, not a curated record.
CAGACAUGAAGAUCUAUGUAUUAGUGAACACAUUUUUAGAUCUAUACACUCCCAAGCAGUAUCUGCAACCCAACACUGCAACGCUGUGCUAGUGCCUGAGAACCAGAAAGUGAAACUAAACAUGGUUUAGCUCAACUUGGAGAAUGAAAGAAAUACAAAAAAGAAACAAAACAGCUGAAUAAUGAUAAAUUGGACUUUUUCAAAGCAGUUAUUGGUUCACUUGUAGGCCUGAUCCUCCACUUGCAGGACCAGUAGUUUGGCCACUCAAAGCCAGCUGAAGGACUGGGGCCUUCACAAGCUUCAGUGUUAUUAAGAAGACUACAGACUUAGAUCCGUAUAAUAACUACAUCGCUCAGGGAUGAGAGAAAUCCACAUCCCUGAGUGAUGUAGUUAUAUCGACUUAACCCCCCAUGUAGACAGGGCUAUAUCAGCAGAAGAGCUACUGACUCUCAGGGAGGUGGAUCAACUUCACUGAAAGGAGAGUUCUCUCCCAUCGACUUAGGCCUGCUCUAUACUACAGAGUUAAUUACGUCAAUCUAACUCUAAGCGUCUACACUAAACGGUAGCUCCUAUUGAUGUAACUCGCCCACUACACCGACCUAAUAACUCUACCUCCACGAGAGGCAUAGCGCUUAAGUCGAUUUAGUUAGGUCGACGCAGUGUCAGUGCAGACACUGUGUUCCUUACAUUGACUGUUACUGCCUUUCAGAAAUCGUCUCACAAUGCUCCAUGUGCAAUGGACAUGCAAAAGUGAUUUAAUUACUGCGAUGGCUGUAUGUCAACAUAACUUAGGUUGACUUAAUUUUGUAGUGUAGACUUGCCCUUAGAACAUCUUUAUUAAAGCAAUACAAUGGUGCAGCUGCACCAAUGCAGCAUUUCAAGUGUAGGCUUGCCCUACAUCCCAAACUUAAUACCAAGAUAGUUGGCUGCGCACCACAAUCAUAUAAGUAGCAAGAGACAAUUUGACCUGCUCCUAUUUCUUUUAGAGUGCACCACCUGGAAACAAUAAUGGGGCAGCCAGCACUGUGCGCAACAUUCCAAGAUGCCAAACAUUGACAAGUUCGAUACAAGUGCCCCUCAAAAAAUGCGAGAUUGCAUCUCUCUUUAGCCUGAAAGAUCCCACAGCAGCGCUUCUCUUUAUCUUGUCCCUCCUGUGUCCAUCCUAUAGGUGAGCCCUAUCUGGACUCCUUGCUGUUUCUGGAUACCCCAUAAAGCCACACAAAAAACAUCUUUUCCCCUCUCCAACCCUCAGGAUGACCAACUGUGGCUUCUCCAUUUGGGUUUGGAUUUUGGGAAUCCAAGCAUUCACAACCUCCAGGCUUAAUUACUGUAAUUCUCUCUACCUAGGUAUGAAACAGCUGAUUUUACAACAGUUCCUGGUGACUCAGGACAUAGAAACCCAUCUGUUCAGCAAAGCAGGCCUCUGACAGCACAUCACCCACAGUGCUCUACUCUUCACUAGCUCAUGGAAUUCCAGGUCAAAUUCAACAUUUCAGCCUUCACCUUGGGAGCAAGACGACAACCUUCAUGUGAUGUUCCUGACCAAAAAAGAACAGUUGGGCCAGCCCUCCAAAUAUACGAACUUACUGUAGAAAGGAUGUCCAUGAAAAAAGUGGUUUACCGCUCGAGGACCCUCAAAGACCAUCACAUUGACAUCAUGGCCCUCCAAGAAACACGCGUAAAAGACAACGACAAAGCUGCCAGACAUAAAAUCUCAUAGAAUGGGGGGCUGCUCCACCGUCUGUUUGACAUUAGCAGAGACAUCCUCCCAGUGAAGCAGGCAGGAUUUCACUGGAGGAGGAACUGCUGUGACCAAGUAGCUUAACUCACCGGCUACACUGAGGCAGGAUUCCAACAGAAGUUGAAGACAGGAAUCGUCCUUGUUGAUGUAUCCUCGGCAUAUGACACCGGAUGGAGACAAGGCCUCCUCUUCAAGGUCUCCAGUGUCAUUCACUGUCAGCAAAUGAUCCGCCUCUUGGCAGUGAUGACCGGGGACAGCUGGUUUAAGAUACACCUUAAUGGCCAGAUCAGUAGACCAAAGACUCUUCACUCGGGCAUCCCUCAGGGCUCUGUCCUGACCCUGAUACUUUUUAAUCUAUACACCAUGGAUAUACCAGCAACGGAGUUGAGGAAAUUCAUCUAUGCAGAUGACAUUGUCCUAGCUGUUCAGCAUACAAGCCUCCAUACUAUCAGCUGCACCCUAACCCGAGAUCUUAGCACAAUGGCUGAUUAUUUCCAAUGCUGGAAACUUAGGCCUAACCCAAAAAAAAAAAAAAAAAAAAAAACCACCAUGGUGACCACUUUCUGUCUGAACAAUAAAAUGGCUAAUACCAAACUCGUGGUGCAGUUCUGCAGUGAGAGCGUCAGCCAUGAGGCUAACUCAAAGUAUCUCAGCGUUACACAGGACCGGAGUUUAACCUUUCUACAACAUCUCGAGAACACCCGCUAUAAGGCCAGGUCCCAUGCAGCACUUAGGAAAUUGGCCAGAACAUCAUCAGGCUCCAGUCCAUGGACCUUACAACCUCAACAACUGCUUUGGUACAUUCUGCAGCUGAAUACUGUGCACCAGUGUGUUCUCACAGCAGUCACACUAAACGCCUUGACACUCAACUCAAUAACGCUAUGCGCAUAGAGUCAAUUUGAGCGUUCCUGACACUGGUCGACUGGCUCCCGGUCCUACUGCACAUCCAGCCUCCAUAAAUUAGAAGAGCUGCCCAGACAUCUCACUUUCUCAACUACGUCAAUGCAAACACAAAGACCCCGCUGCACGAUGACCUGCAGAACCCACCAAAGACAAAAUUAAAAUCCUGCAACCCUCUAUGGGUCCGCAUCAAGACUCUUACAUUUAACUUUGAUGCUGAGGCUAAAUGGAGAACCACAGGGAGUGUUUCGACUGCUCAAAACAAACAGCUUGUUGUUGACCCUGUCAAGGAACCACCGGGUUUUGAUUUAUGUCAGAAAGACUGGUGCAGAUUGAAUUACAUCAGGACAUCUCCUGGGAGAUGUGGACAAACCCUCUUUAAAUGGAAAAUGAGGCAAACACCUGUAGGAGACUGUUGUCACCAGGCACAAAUGAUGGAGCACAUCAUUUCUGAGUGUUCCCUUUGUUCUUUCACCAGGGGCCUGAAGGACAUUCACCAGCUCACUGCUGCAGCAAGGUCCCUACUAUCAAAUCUAGAUAUAAAUUUGUAAUUGUGGUUACCUCCCCAAGCCAUAUGAAAGAAGAAGUCUUCACCUUCAGAGUCCUCCAUGGGCUUGGCACAAGUUACCCAGGGGACCAUCACAACCCGCAUGGUCGUGACCUCCCGUGAGAGCCAGGUUCCUGCGGUAUUAUGGGACUGUCAACCUCAAGAACAAUGCUUGUGCACGCAGGAGACCAAACUUUCUUGGCUACUGCCCAUAACUUACUCCUGGAAGAGGUCAGGAUACACAAACGUCAGCGUAUUCAGAGCAAAAUGCAAAACUGUGACCCAGCCCUUCUGCCAUAGCCACCCUGGCCCUCUCACAAGAAGCGAGUCACUGCUGACUGAAGGAAAGAGAACACUAUCUGAAGUGCAUGUACAAACAUAUACAUAAGUGAUGUAUCUAAUACCCUAGAUCGAGGCAGACAGAACAGUAGCACAGCAUGUGUGAAGGUAUACGGCAGGUAUGCUCUAACGUACCAACAGGAAGUUAAUAAUGGACAACAGCAGAUGCAGUGGUGGACUAGCAUUUUCUGUAAUCUUAGUGUCAUGAUUCAGCAUUGCUUACUGAGGUCAAUAACAGAAGAGAAUUAAUACCAAGUUUGUGUAGGACUGCGCAGGAUCCCAAGUGUGUGAUGAAAGACAGUUUAGAGAUAAAUUCACCACUCCUUGGGAAAACAACAUUAAUCUCUUAAGCACCAAACAAAAGAAUCAGAGUCACCUCUGCAGACAGAACUCAAGACAGGUCUGACACCAAUAAAUAUGUAUGAUUUGUUAGGUACAGUCAGAAGACGUCAGGAGGCAUGGAUCAGCGUUCACGUUGCACUGCCUGUCAAUACCCAGCCCAAUCUGGAAAGCUAAUAAUCCAACCAGCAGACCAAAUUCGGUGAUGAAUCCUGGUCACAUGCCACCUGAGGCACGCUGGGUAUACACUAAGAAGCAGCAGCACAAGUCAAUGCUCUACAUGCCCAUCAAGGGAGGUAAUUUACUCUUCCAUACAGACACUAUUGCUAAGGCUAAGAUUUUCUCAUGGAUAUAUUUAGUAAAAGUCAGGGACAAGUCACAGGUAAUAAACAAAAAUUCAUGGAAGCCCGUACCUGUCCCUGACUUUUACUAAAAAGAUCCCUGACAAAAUGGGAAGGGAGGAGUGUCCAACACCCACAACAGCUGGGGCUCCAGGGUCCCCCCCCCUCCACUGCACAGCAGCUGGGAGCUCCGGGGGACCCCUACCCCACACAGCAGCUGGCAGCUCCAGGGCCCCCUGCUGCCUGGGUGCUGCCCUGCGGCUGACACGGAAAAUGUCACAGAGGUCUCUGGAAGUGACAGAUUCCGUGACAUAAUUGUAUCCUUAACUAUUGCUACUAGACAUAGUUUUCUAAAGUUACUUGUUGUAGAGAAGCGUGAAGAGUGAUUGUUUUCCCCCUUUGAAAAGUUGCAUGUGGACAAUAGAGGUCAAAUUUGACCACUUCCUUACAUCCCAUUUUCACCAUUUCCCUGUGAAUUAUACUGUAUAAGUGGACGCACUUAAGUACAACCCUCCACAGCAGAUAAAACCAGCACCAAAGACAAGAUGUACUGGUACGUUACCCACCGUUACCCAGUACUUAAAAGUACAGCUGGAAAGUAGUCCAGCUUUUGCAGAACCACUUUUCACUCUGUGUGCCCAACUGCCUACUCACAAAAUGGCAGAGGAGUUUUAGGAAAAACUGAGGUUUGCCCAGGGAGACUCUAAUCAUAUUUAACAUCACACUUAUUUGGAAUGCUAAACCCCAUCCCCUUGAUUAUUAUACUGUGUGGUCCACUACACUGACAUAACACCACUGAGAUCACCUAUUUUGGUUGCACCAUAGAGAAAGCCACCUCCUGCACUAAUAGAAAAUUAAAUCCUAGUGCUAACCCCUAUUUCCCAUAUGCCCUCUUCUCCCACUUACUUAUUCUGAUGUGGCAACACACCUACCUACAUACAUUCUCUGCCCUGCCUCCCCCUAUCCCCCUGGAUGUGCAGAAUCAGUAAAAAGGCAGUGAAUCUAGUGAGAAUGGAAGUCAAAGAUCUUGAAUUCUUAUCCCAGCUUUGCCACUGACUUGCUGCAUGGUCAUCAGACAAGAGAGCCUCUCUGUGCUUGUUUCCUUAUCUGUACUACUCUUCUACCUAUUUCACAGGAAUUCUGUGACGCUAUAGAUAAGCAGAGUGUUAUUAAUCUGCACAGGUCCCAUGAUGAGGAAGGGAAAGCAACACCAAGAUCUCAAAGUUGCAUGAACGGAAGUAAAUCGCACUUUGUUGCACUAGACUCGGCAAAUAUAAUGCAAGCCACAGGAAAACAACAUGCAUGCUGGGGAAGUGGUCAGAUACUGUAGUGAUGGUGGCUAUGUUCAUCACCAUCUAACACUGUAUGUGUAGCAAGUGACUGUUUGUAGCCAAUGUUUGGUGGGUGAGGCUUCCAUGGCUUGCCUCAACUCACUACCAAUAAACAGCUAUGGGGAAAACA